This 84-nucleotide transfer RNA is filed under the name candidate division KSB3 bacterium. RNAcentral describes it as "tRNA-Leu". It matches the Rfam family "tRNA". Rfam says of the family: Transfer RNA (tRNA) molecules are approximately 80 nucleotides in length. Their secondary structure includes four short double-helical elements and three loops (D, anti-codon, and T loops). The record is from RNAcentral.
GCCGAAGUGGUGGAACUGGUAGACACGCUAUCUUGAGGGGGUAGUGGACCAACGUCCGUGGGGGUUCGAGUCCCCCCUUCGGCA